UACGAAGGGGGCUAGCGUUGUUCGGAAUCACUGGGCGUAAAGCGCACGUAGGCGGACUUUUAGGUCAGGGGUGAAAUCCCGGGGCUCAACCCCGGAACUGCCUUUGAUACUGGAAGUCUUGAGUCCGAGAGAGGUGAGUGGAACUCCGAGUGUAGAGGUGAAAUUCGUAGAUAUUCGGAAGAACACCAGUGGCGAAGGCGGCUCACUGGCUCGGUACUGACGCUAAGGUGCGAAAGCGAUGGGGAGCAACAGGGAUUAAG
Molecule: ribosomal RNA, 260 nt
Filed under: uncultured bacterium
Lineage: Bacteria
Description: partial 16S ribosomal RNA
Rfam family: Bacterial small subunit ribosomal RNA
Source: RNAcentral